CCAACGACAAAACGAAAGCUAGAAUACCGUUGUAAAUAAGCUUUAGUUUCGUCGAAGAAGAAAAACAAGACGGACCAGAAACGAAACAUUCCGAUACACCG
Varroa destructor (honeybee mite) is the source of this 101-nucleotide long non-coding RNA. RefSeq lists it as uncharacterized. The record is from RefSeq and is a predicted model, not a curated record. NCBI's taxonomy places the organism in Eukaryota, Metazoa, Arthropoda, Arachnida, Mesostigmata, Varroidae.